This 72-nucleotide transfer RNA is filed under the name Cavia porcellus (domestic guinea pig). It matches the Rfam family "tRNA". From Rfam's summary of the family: Transfer RNA (tRNA) molecules are approximately 80 nucleotides in length. Their secondary structure includes four short double-helical elements and three loops (D, anti-codon, and T loops). Further hydrogen bonds mediate the characteristic L-shaped molecular structure. tRNAs have two regions of fundamental functional importance: the anti-codon, which is responsible for specific mRNA codon recognition, and the 3' end, to which the tRNAs corresponding amino acid is attached (by aminoacyl-tRNA synthetases). tRNAs cope with the degeneracy of the genetic code in two manners: having more than one tRNA (with a specific anti-codon) for a particular amino acid; and 'wobble' base-pairing, i.e. permitting non-standard base-pairing at the 3rd anti-codon position. Lineage: Eukaryota; Metazoa; Chordata; Mammalia; Rodentia; Caviidae. The record is from Rfam by way of RNAcentral.
UAGGGUGUGGCUGAGUGGUAGAGCGCUUGCCUAGCACACAUGAGGCCCUGGUUUCCAUCCCCAGCACCGUAA